GGAUUUGAAUUAUCGGCAACCAUCAUAUAUUAUAUCUUAGUGAUGGAAGAUGAAAGGAGUAGCAGUGAUUGGCGGUCUACGCAAACAGACCAGACCGAAACGAGUUUGGCAGAUCAAUUGACAAGAGUCUUGCAAAAUCUGCAGCCACAACAAUCAUUACAAAGUCAUCAUACAGUUACGCUAAGCACAAAAUUAAAUCAAUAUAAUUACUCUCUUUGGGCACGCUUGAUGAGAAUGGCAAUCGGAAGUAGAGGACAGUUAAGGCACAUCACUGGAGUUCCAGCACCACCGGAGAAAAGCACCUUGGACUAUACUAAAUGGGAGCAAACAGACCUGUUAGUAUGUUCUUGGAUGCUAGAUAAUAUGGAAGCUGAGUUAAUUACAGACUAUGCAGAGUAUCCAACAGCCAAGGAUUUAUGGGAUGGUCUGGCUACAACCUACAGUCAGGGACGAGAAGGAGUUCAAUUGUUUGAUCUUACGGUUCGAGCAAACACAAUGAAACAAGGCACAGAUACAUUGGAGGUUUAUUACAGUAAAUUGCAGAGACUAUGGCGGGAGAUAGAAGUCAGACAACCUAAUCCUAUGAUUUGUGCAGAUGACAUCACAAUGUUUAAUAAACUCAGAUCGGACCAGAAAUUGUAUCAAUUUCUCGCUGGAAUUGGAGAAGAAUUUGAUUCAGAUAAAAGAGAUUUGCUGAAAACAGAACCUUUACCUACCUCAGAGGCAGCCUAUGCAACAAUUCGAAGGGAACGAGAUCGUCGAAAAGCUAUGACUGGAAAUCUAUCAUCGGCAGUCACCUCAGGAGUUGGAGCUGGCCUACUUUCAUCAUUGGUGGCCGCUUCGGAAGGAGGAAAAUCAGUGAC
Molecule: long non-coding RNA, 863 nt
Filed under: Gossypium barbadense (sea-island cotton)
Lineage: Eukaryota; Viridiplantae; Streptophyta; Magnoliopsida; Malvales; Malvaceae
Description: long non-coding RNA (GBAR_LNC020185)
Source: RNAcentral